This 250-nucleotide ribosomal RNA is filed under the name uncultured bacterium. RNAcentral describes it as "partial 16S ribosomal RNA". It matches the Rfam family "Bacterial small subunit ribosomal RNA", at positions 524 to 773 of the family's 1533-position model. The record is from RNAcentral.
UACGUAGGCAGCAAACGUUGUUCGGAAUUAUUGGGCGUAAAGAGUGUGUAGGCGGUUGCGUGUGUCUGGUGUGAAAUCUCCUGGCUCAACUGGGAGGGUGCGCCGGAAACUGCGCGGCUUGAGUACUGGAGAGGAUGGCGGAAUUCCUGGUGUAGCGGUGAAAUGCGUAGAUAUCAGGAGGAACACCUGUGGUGUAGACGGCUAUCUGGACAGUCACUGACGCUGAGACACGAAAGCGUGGGGAGCAAAC